This 304-nucleotide ribosomal RNA is filed under the name uncultured bacterium. Its description in RNAcentral is "partial 16S ribosomal RNA". It matches the Rfam family "Bacterial small subunit ribosomal RNA", at positions 506 to 809 of the family's 1533-position model. The record is from RNAcentral.
CAGCAGUAGCCGCGGUAAUACAGAGGGUGCGAGCGUUAAUCGGAUUUACUGGGCGUAAAGCGUGCGUAGGCGGCUUUUUAAGUCGGAUGUGAAAUCCCUGAGCUUAACUUAGGAAUUGCAUUCGAUACUGGGAAGCUAGAGUAUGGGAGAGGAUGGUAGAAUUCCAGGUGUAGCGGUGAAAUGCGUAGAGAUCUGGAGGAAUACCGAUGGCGAAGGCAGCCAUCUGGCCUAAUACUGACGCUGAGGUACGAAAGCAUGGGGAGCAAACAGGAUUAGAUACCCCAGUAGUCCCUGUCUCUUAUAA